UCGAGCGGACAGAUGGGAGCUUGCUCCCUGAUGUUAGCGGCGGACGGGUGAGUAACACGUGGGUAACCUGCCUGUAAGACUGGGAUAACUCCGGGAAACCGGGGCUAAUACCGGAUGGUUGUYUGAACCGCAUGGUUCAGACAUAAAAGGUGGCUUCGGCUACCACUUACAGAUGGACCCGCGGCGCAUUAGCUAGUUGGUGAGGUAACGGCUCACCAAGGCGACGAUGCGUAGCCGACCUGAGAGGGUGAUCGGCCACACUGGRAACUGAGACACGGCCCAGACUCCUACGGGAGGCAGCAGUAGGGAAUCUUCCGCAAUGGACGAAAGUCUGACGGAGCAACGCCGCGUGAGUGAUGAAGKUUUUCGGAUCGUAAAGCUCUGUUGUUAGGGAAGAACAAGUGCCGUUCAAAUAGGGCGGCACCUUGACGGUACCUAACCAGAAAGCCACGGCUAACUACGUGCCAGCAGCCGCGGUAAUACGUAGGUGGCAAGCGUUGUCCGGAAUUAUUGGGCGUAAAGGGCUCGCAGGCGGUUUCUUAAGUC
This 546-nucleotide ribosomal RNA is filed under the name Bacillus sp. (in: firmicutes). RNAcentral's name for it is "bacterial SSU rRNA". Lineage: Bacteria; Bacillati; Bacillota; Bacilli; Caryophanales; Bacillaceae. The record is from RNAcentral.